Astatotilapia calliptera (eastern happy) is the source of this 1008-nucleotide long non-coding RNA. The record is from Ensembl. NCBI's taxonomy places the organism in Eukaryota, Metazoa, Chordata, Actinopteri, Cichliformes, Cichlidae.
CUGAUUAUUUAAGACCUUGUAUGUGAGGAACAGGAUUUUGAAUUCAAUUCUGGAUUUAACAGGAAGCCAAUGAAGGGAAGCCAAAACAGGAGAAAUCUGCUCUCUCUUUCUAGUCCCUGUCAGGACUCUUGCUGCAGCAUUUUGGAUUAGCUGAAGGUUUUUCAGUGAGUUUUUUGGACAUGCUGAUAAUAAUGAAUUACAGUCGUCCAGCCUGGAAGUAAUAAAUGCAUGAACUAGUUUUUCAGCGUCACUCUGAGACAGGAUAUUUCUAAUUUUAGAGAUGUUGCGCAAAUGGAAGAACGCAGUCUUACAUAUUUGUUUAAUAUGUGCGUUGAAGGACAUGUCCUGGUCAAAAAUGACUCCAAGGUUCCUCACAGCAUUACUGGAGGCCAAGGUAAUGCCAUCCAGAGUAAGAAUCUGGUUAGAUACCAUAUUUCUAAGCUUUUCAGGGCCGAGUACAAUAACCUCAGUUUUUUUUUUUUUUUUUUUUUUUUUUUGCCUGUCCCGUUUGGCUCUUUUGCCAUCAGAAUUGUUGUCUAAAGGCGAAGAAAGAUGCCCAACGGAUUUACUUUACCAAACUGACCAUCCCAGCCUUGCCAUAAUGGUCCAUUUGAUUCACCUUUUAUUGUUUAUUUUAUUUUCACUUACUGAAUACGGGACAGACUUGACUGGGGGAAAGAAGGGGAGAAAGAAAGAGGGAAAGAGAAACAGCUGAGAAGAGGGACGGGGGAGAAGGGCAAAAGACAAAAACCAACAGAACGGGCAGAGAAAAAAAAAUGCAUAUAUCGAUCACCUGGAUCACCUGCUGAGAAAGAAAAAAGAAAGCAAGCAGAAGAGAACAAGAGUAAUAGAAUAAACAACAUCACAAUGAUAUAUGGGAAUAUGACAGUAAAUACUAAAUGUUAAACAUUAUUGUGCAGCACAUAAGAUCAACAGAACACAGUAGAAAAAAAAAAUGCAUAUAUCAAUCACCUGGAUCACCUGCUGAGAAAGAAAAAAGAAAGCAAG